GUCCAGACACGUGAAGUUCUGCAGCAGCGCCCACUUUUCACGCUGGAACCUCGCGCUGGAAUCACGCGCCGCGGGCCUCUCCAGCACCCAGAACACGCCGGUGCCCAGCGCCAGGCGAGGGACCCCAGCUGAUCACCACUCGUCUCUGAACUUGAGAGGCAAGAGGAGUCUUGACCAGUGGGUUUGUCCAUUCCCUGCUGCUGAAGAGGCCCAGGGUCCAGUGACUUGCUCGGACAUCACAUCUCCUUUGCUCUCUGGAGAGCUCCUGAGACCAGCCCUGGCUGGGGAAGGAAUGGGAAAGGACAUGGCACAGGAAGUCCGGAAGGCAUACAGAGG
This is a long non-coding RNA of Ailuropoda melanoleuca (giant panda), 336 nucleotides long. RefSeq lists it as uncharacterized. NCBI's taxonomy places the organism in Eukaryota, Metazoa, Chordata, Mammalia, Carnivora, Ursidae. The transcript is spliced from 3 exons. The record is from RefSeq and is a predicted model, not a curated record.